AAAAAGGGCUUCUGUAGUGAGUGGCACACAUAGGGCACCUCAGUUGCUCUUCAUGCAGAAUCGACAUCAAGAGAUUUCAGAAGCAUAAUUUUUGUCACCAGGGCAGCUGGUGAUCAUUGGUCCUGGUGUGAAA
Small nuclear RNA from Choloepus didactylus (southern two-toed sloth), 133 nucleotides. RefSeq annotates it as U11 spliceosomal RNA. The transcript has a single exon. Lineage: Eukaryota; Metazoa; Chordata; Mammalia; Pilosa; Megalonychidae. The record is from RefSeq and is a predicted model, not a curated record.